Molecule: ribosomal RNA, 279 nt
Filed under: uncultured archaeon
Lineage: Archaea
Description: partial 16S rRNA
Rfam family: Archaeal small subunit ribosomal RNA
Source: RNAcentral
GAGACCCACGCCAACAGUUGCCAGCAUGUCCUCCGGGAUGAUGGGGACACUGUUGGGACCGCCUCUGCUAAAGAGGAGGAAGGAAUGGGCAACGGUAGGUCAGCAUGCCCCGAAUUAUCCGGGCUACACGCGGGCUACAAUGGUCAGGACAAUGGGUAUCGACACCGAGAGGUGAAGGCAAUCUCUUAAACCUGUCCUUAGUUCGGAUUGUGGGCUGUAACUCGCCCACAUGAAGCUGGAAUCCGUAGUAAUCGCGUCUCAAAAUGGCGCGGUGAAUAU